This 2379-nucleotide long non-coding RNA is filed under the name Homo sapiens (human). Its description in RNAcentral is "HSALNT0271052". The record is from RNAcentral. Lineage: Eukaryota; Metazoa; Chordata; Mammalia; Primates; Hominidae.
UGUCAUUUUUUUAAAAAUUGAGACAAAACUUACAUAUAGUAAAUGUACAAUAUAGCUCAAUAACUUUUUACAUAUAGACACAUCUAUAGAACCACCAUCCAAAUGAAGAUACAAAUUUCUAGUGCUUCAGAAGACCACGUUGUGUCCCUCUCAGCCAGUACCAUCUCCACCUCCAACCCAAGGAUGCAAAGAAAAGACAAUCAUCUGCGACAAGGAAGAAGAUCCUUAGGAAAACUCAACGAGGCGGCAUCCUGAUCUCAGACUUCCAGCCUCCAGAACUGUGAGAAAUGCCUGUUUAAGCCAUCUCAUCUACGAUAAUUUGUUAUAAUUGCCUGAACUGACUAUACAUUGUACUAGUAACUUGAUAGAUAAAAAAAAAAUUAGACAAGUCUUUGGCAACCAGCCUGGAAGUCAACACCAGUAACCUACCAAUAUUACCAAUAAAUUCCUCUUUUUUUAUGCUUUAGGCCUCUACUUCAAAUCCCCAAGGGUAGCUGUGUAACAAAAAUGCUAGUGGUGUUAUUUCUACUGAAAUAAAAAGAGGAUCCAAGAGGAAGGGUGACAUUCUGAUGAUGUCUACUGCAGUCUUUUAUCUUUAUGAAAAUUAAGAACUAUAAGUAAUUAGCACAAUAAAUGUAGCUAUUGUCAAACAACAAAGAUUAAUAUGCUAGUAACCGAAAGAGAAGGGAUAACUCAAAGUAAAAAGCUUCUUUAUUUCUACAUUAUUUAACAUUAGCCCCAAUAUGACAAAUUUUCUGCCUUUCAAAAAUGUAUAGGCUAAUUUUAUGGGACAAGUUACACACAAAAUGAGCUUCCAUAAGCACGCAUGAUAAUUCAUGAUAUAAUUAGCAAUUUUUACUUGCAGGCUACAGAAUUUAAUUUCAUCUAAUUUAUCCAGAAAAUUAAAAAGGGUUUAUUGGUUGUUUACUUGUGCUGACUUUUGGAUCCCCAAAAGACCACCAGAAAAACCCAUAGAUCAAGCAAAUCUUAGUUUACCAUAUCUCCUGUACUAAAUAAAGUCAACAACUUGACAGCAUAUUAGUAUUAUCACUGAAGGGCUAUCUUCAAGGGAGGAUAAAUAUGAGAUUUUAGGCCCUGGAUAUAGUCAUUUUAAAGGAAGUCAUCAAGGCAGGGAAUUAUUUGAUUAGAAUUUAUAAUAGAUUGGUGGGGACAGUGAGGCAAGGGCCUUAAAAUGAGCUUUGAUAAGCAAGCUGCUAGUCUUGGUUUUAAUUGUCUCACGAUCUUAUUUUCUGGAGACAAAUAUACUGGAGCAAGCAGCUAAGCAAUAUUUGUUCCACAUCAGUACUGCCUAAUGCAGGCACAGGGAAUUAUGUUGGCUUUAGUUCUCAAUAAAUAGCCUAUAGACUCAAAGGAAGAAAGAAACAACUGAUUUCCAGAAGGUUAGGAACUGGGGUAUCUUAAGGAACAAAAUGGCAUUGAUCCCCCAAAAAUCUCUAGGGCUCCGCGAUCUGGAGCCUUGAUUCUUAUCACAUUUCAUCCCUGAGUAUCUUAGUUUAAGGAUCAAAUUCUCAGGAGGAUGCCAGGCUAUGUGGCCUGCUCUGUGGUCAAGAGGGACAGGGUCUCAAGUUUUAUUCUCCAAAAAAGUCACAUGGAGAGGUAAUUUCCCAAAAGAAGAGAAAUUAAGAAGACAGUAAUAAAAGCUAUCCCUUAUAAUGGUCAAAUCCCUCUCAAACAUCUCUCUCCUCAUAGGUGUUGAAUUUUGGCUGAAAUUGUUUCUUUUAGUUGUUGCUGAACAAUUUAAAUGUAUUUUUUAAGUCAUUUCUUCUUUCCUCUCCUCUGAUUGCUUCCCUACAACUAACUCCCGGGGUCAAAACUUGUCAAUUGUACAUGUGUAAUGAGUUUCUCUCACCCACCCUCUUCCUUUCUAGUCUAUCGAUAUGUGCCCUAAUCUGUUCCUACAGGAUAUUUUUUUCUAAAUUCCUGCAAUGGCCUCCUACAUGUUCUCUACAUUUAUCGAAUCUCUUAUGUACUUCAAAUUAUUAAUGUUCUUGAAGCACAGUUGCAAUUCUUUUAUUCUCAGUUUUUCAUGAGUCAGUCAUUCCCCAUUCCCUAUCACAUAAGUGUCACAUGCUUUGGUCUCACAUCAAAGGCCAGUUACAACUGCCAGCAGCUCUCUAUCUGGACUUACUUUCAGCUACUCACAUUCAUGUUAGCUUUGUUCUAAUUAAACACAUGGCAAUGUUGCCAGGGUACUCCCUUUGAUUUCUUAACUCCAAACUCUUUAAGAACAAAAUGUGGGCCUGAUUCACCUUUACAGUCCCCACUUCCUUCUAUGGCCAUUUGAGUAACUACUCUCAUCCACUGAAACUGUUGCCUUCAAUGCUACUGAUCUGAAAAAGAUCAUGAGGCCAAGUUAGG